UUUUAGAAUAAGGCUGUAACGUAACAAAAUGUGGACAAAGUCAAGGGGUCUGAAUACUUUCCGAAUGCCCUGUAUGACAUUAUGAGCAAAGGUUUAUUUUUCAUCAUGUAACGACAGAAGAGAAGCUGCAUGUAUCUAAUUAUAGACAAGUUGACUAUCAAAUAGUCUGCCAAAAUGUCAGAAAUUAUAACCAGAAACAUAAGCAUAAUCUAAAAAAAAGGCCUGUCAAAAAAAUGAUUCUGCUUUUUUCUGGCUGUACAGCGCCUUUUCAAUGUUAGUGUCGAUUGCGGGCCUCAAAUUCUGAACUCUUAUCACAUAGUCGGUUGGUUGCGGAUGAGUUAUUAACAAGAAGAAACGGCUGACCUGCUCAUCACUAAUCUCAAUAUAAGGUUCACCAGACUGUUCCAAGAAGGAGUGAGCUGUUUUUUACUUUGAGAGAAAUGACUUCUUCUGGCCCACCUCUUCAAGUCACUUUCUGACCAGCGAACCGACAGAGGAGAGGCGGCGGGUUGAAGAGUUUGUUGCUAGUAUAGAUCUGGGUCAGCUACAGAGUCU
Molecule: long non-coding RNA, 555 nt
Organism: Salvelinus namaycush (lake trout)
Lineage: Eukaryota; Metazoa; Chordata; Actinopteri; Salmoniformes; Salmonidae
Exons: 4
Source: RefSeq, a predicted model, not a curated record